CCAAACUUUUGCAUCCAAGAUAUAUGGGAAUGGUCCUCCAGACAGCUUUGCCUCCUCCUGCCGACAGAGAGAUGUCAACAGGAGGCAGACCUCCCUGCUAAUGCAGGACUGCCUUUUUAUUUUAGUUUAUUAUUUUUAUCUCCUUUUCAGGAGGGAAUCAGGGAUCACUGUGUCUCUCUGUUGGGCAAACUAUGUCAGCUUCAACACCUUUCCACCCUUUUACCCCAAGAAAACAAAGUGGAACAGAGCAGCCAUGGGAUCUACAGCUGGAUGCCAGUCACCGAAUGGGUGACCCUGCUGUUGGUUCACAUGGGGGAGAAGAAAUAAAAAGGACGAAGAUGGGGUGAGCAUUUUGGGAUUAGGUAUUCUCACCUACCCGACUAGACGGAUUCAACUUCCCAGCUUCAUGGCAAGAAUGCAGUAUCCUCAAAGCUUGCAUAGUAGACAUCCUAGUGCUGUGACGGCUAACCUCCGGCACUCCUGCUGUGGUAAAACUACAACUCCCAAGAUGCUUGGCUGUUCUCAGAACUCCAUAGAAAUGAAUGGAGCAUGCUGGGAGUCUUAGUUUCACCUCAGCUGGAGUGCCGGAGGUUCUAUUGAAACCAGUUUGCAUCUUCUGUACAUAUUUCUCCAACUCCCUCUCCUUCCUAAGAUCCUCCAGAGGAGCAAGUCAAAGAGCAUUCCAUCAAUACUGAUUGCUUUAGAAUAACUCUGCCGAUUGUGGUGCUCCAACGUUAUUCCACCCCUGGCUGACGUUCCCUGACAUGUUCCGCUCAGAGAUUACCUUCUCUCUCACAGGCCAGUCAUCCAUCAUCAUUUAGAGUCAGUAUGUUUAAUGGUUGUUGAAUCCUCAGUUGUAAAAAUCCCAUGGUGUGCCUAACAGCAAGGGCGGACUGGGAACAUAAAG
Bufo bufo (common toad) is the source of this 907-nucleotide long non-coding RNA. RefSeq lists it as uncharacterized. The transcript is spliced from 3 exons. The record is from RefSeq and is a predicted model, not a curated record. Lineage: Eukaryota; Metazoa; Chordata; Amphibia; Anura; Bufonidae.